AUUGAACGCUGGCGGCAGGCCUAACACAUGCAAGUCGAGCGGUAACAGGAAGAAGCUUGCUUCUUUGCUGACGAGUGGCGGACGGGUGAGUAAUGUCUGGGAAACUGCCUGAUGGAGGGGGAUAACUACUGGAAACGGUAGCUAAUACCGCAUAACGUCGCAAGACCAAAGAGGGGGACCUUCGGGCCUCUUGCCAUCGGAUGUGCCCAGAUGGGAUUAGCUAGUAGGUGGGGUAACGGCUCACCUAGGCGACGAUCCCUAGCUGGUCUGAGAGGAUGACCAGCCACACUGGAACUGAGACACGGUCCAGACUCCUACGGGAGGCAGCAGUGGGGAAUAUUGCACAAUGGGCGCAAGCCUGAUGCAGCCAUGCCGCGUGUAUGAAGAAGGCCUUCGGGUUGUAAAGUACUUUCAGCGGGGAGGAAGGGAGUAAAGUUAAUACCUUUGCUCAUUGACGUUACCCGCAGAAGAAGCACCGGCUAACUCCGUG
RNAcentral lists this ribosomal RNA (490 nucleotides) under uncultured bacterium. RNAcentral's name for it is "partial 16S ribosomal RNA". It matches the Rfam family "Bacterial small subunit ribosomal RNA", at positions 30 to 507 of the family's 1533-position model. The record is from RNAcentral.